This 498-nucleotide ribosomal RNA is filed under the name uncultured bacterium. Its description in RNAcentral is "partial 16S ribosomal RNA". It matches the Rfam family "Bacterial small subunit ribosomal RNA", at positions 30 to 523 of the family's 1533-position model. The record is from RNAcentral.
AUUGAACGCUGGCGGCAUGCCUUACACAUGCAAGUCAAACGGUAACAGGUCUUCGGAUGCUGACGAGUGGCGAACGGGUGAGUAAUACAUCGGAACGUGCCUAGUAGUGGGGGAUAACUACUCGAAAGAGUGGCUAAUACCGCAUGAGAUCUACGGAUGAAAGCAGGGGAUCGCAAGACCUUGUGCUACUAGAGCGGCCGAUGGCAGAUUAGGUAGUUGGUGGGAUAAAAGCUUACCAAGCCGACGAUCUGUAGCUGGUCUGAGAGGACGAUCAGCCACACUGGGACCGAGACACGGCCCAGACUCCUACGGGAGGCAGCAGUGGGGAAUUUUGGACAAUGGGCGAAAGCCUGAUCCAGCAAUGCCGCGUGCAGGAUGAAGGCCUUCGGGUUGUAAACUGCUUUUGUACGGAACGAAAAGCCCCGGGUUAAUACCCUGGGUUCAUGACGGUACCGUAAGAAUAAGCACCGGCUAACUACGUGCCAGCCGCCGCAGUAA